RNAcentral lists this ribosomal RNA (398 nucleotides) under uncultured bacterium. RNAcentral describes it as "partial 16S ribosomal RNA". It matches the Rfam family "Bacterial small subunit ribosomal RNA", at positions 523 to 918 of the family's 1533-position model. The record is from RNAcentral.
AUACGUAGGUGACAAGCGUUAUCCGGAUUUACUGGGCGUAAAGAGCUCGUAGGUGGUUUGUCGCGUCGUCUGUGAAAUUCCGGGGCUUAACUCCGGGCGUGCAGGCGAUACGGGCAUAACUUGAGUACUGUAGGGGAGACUGGAAUUCCUGGUGUAGCGGUGAAAUGCGCAGAUAUCAGGAGGAACACCGGUGGCGAAGGCGGGUCUCUGGGCAGUAACUGACGCUGAGGAGCGAAAGCAUGGGUAGCGAACAGGAUUAGAUGCCCUGGUAGUCCAUGCCGUAAACGGUGGGCGCUAGGUGUAGGGGUCUUCCACGACUUCUGUGCCGUAGCUAACGCAUUAAGCGCCCCGCCUGGGGAGUACGGCCGCAAGGCUAAAACUCAAAUGAAUUGACGGGG